UGCAGUUGAGCGGUAAGGCCCCUUCGGGGGUACACGAGCAGCGAACGGGUGAGUAUCGCGUGGGUAAUCUACCUAGAGGUAGGGGAUAGCCUCGGGAAACCGAGGGUAAUACCGCAUAAGUCCUCGACGGCAUAAGUCGACGAGGGGAAAGGCGGGGCUCCUUCGGGACCUGUCGCCUCUGGAUGAGCCCGCGUCCGAUUAGCUAGUUGGUGAGGUAAUGGCUCACCAAGGCAACGAUCGGUAGCCGGCCUGAGAGGGUGAACGGCCACAUUGGGACUGAGACACGGCCCAGACUCCUACGGGAGGCAGCAGUGGGGAAUUUUGGGCAAUGGGGGAAACCCUGACCCAGCGACGCCGCGUGGAGGAUGGCGGCCUUCGGGUUGUAAACUCCUGUCAG
This 397-nucleotide ribosomal RNA is filed under the name uncultured Acidobacteriota bacterium. Its description in RNAcentral is "bacterial SSU rRNA". It matches the Rfam family "Bacterial small subunit ribosomal RNA", at positions 56 to 439 of the family's 1533-position model. Lineage: Bacteria; Pseudomonadati; Acidobacteriota. The record is from RNAcentral.